AUUUAUUAUAACAAAGGCAACUGCUUAACAUAAGUUGUUUGCUAAAGAGGAUAUAUUGUUUAUGGUAGAGUAAUUACCUUAACCAGUAAAUUGGAGACCAUUUUAAUACUGGGAAAAGGCUCAGUAAAAAUACACUCUGGGCACAAAUAGAGCUUUAAUGCAUUUGAUAGAGUUCAUCCUCAUUCAUAUAUAGUAUUUUUUAUAUGCUCAACUCUAUACAGUUUUUGCACAAAACAAUAAAUAAAAACAACUGGGUUAUUCACUAAAGUGAGAAUUCAAAGUGAAGUUCACAUUUUAGGCCAAAAUAGAUUAACUGAAAGCAUAACUGGCAUAGAGAAUUUUUACAAUUUGGC
Pelobates cultripes (western spadefoot toad) is the source of this 353-nucleotide non-coding RNA. NCBI's taxonomy places the organism in Eukaryota, Metazoa, Chordata, Amphibia, Anura, Pelobatidae. The record is from the annotation of a GenBank genome assembly.